UACAGAGGGGGCAAGCGUUGUUCGGAAUUACUGGGCGUAAAGGGCGCGUAGGCGGCCUGCUAAGUCGAACGUGAAAUCCCUUGGCUCAACCCAGGAACUGCGUCCGAUACUGGUUGGCUUGAAUCCGGGAGAGGGAUGUGGAAUUCCAGGUGUAGCGGUGAAAUGCGUAGAUAUCUGGAGGAACACCGGUGGCGAAGGCGACAUCCUGGACCGGUAUUGACGCUGAGGCGCGAAAGCCAGGGGAGCAAACGGG
This 253-nucleotide ribosomal RNA is filed under the name uncultured bacterium. RNAcentral's name for it is "partial 16S ribosomal RNA". It matches the Rfam family "Bacterial small subunit ribosomal RNA", at positions 524 to 776 of the family's 1533-position model. The record is from RNAcentral.